UUCUUGCCAUUUUAAUUUGAUCGCAACUCUUGAUUUUUCGAUUUCGGAAUCUAAUUUCAGAAAAAAAAAAUACGCUCCAAAAAAACCUAAAUCGUGUUAUUUCAAUUAGAAUUUCUUUCUUAUUGAUAAUCAGAUCUUGGAUCUGCAACAAUCUAAUCAUUAUCAUCGUUUUGAAUUAAAAACUUCGAAUUCAACUAAUUUUUCGCAAUUUUUCCCAUUUAAUCUUUCCAAUUCUUAUUCUCGAUUGAAAAUCAAAUUUAAGAUUUGUAAUCAGCAUGUAUUAAUCUUCAUUACCCAUCAAAAAAGAAGAAUUGUCGACCCAAUUAGAAAAAUUUGGUAUAACUCAAGUGAAAUUAUGAUUAUUAAUGAUGAAUUGUUGACUUGAACUGAUACAUUGUUGGUUACAUAGAAGCUACUCACCAUUUCUCCGAGACCUGAUAAACCUUUGACUUUUAUCAUUGCUGGUGCAAGUAACUAUUUCAUUCGUUACUCUUCAUGUGUUUGUUUGUUACGUUUAAUCUACUCUUAUUGUUUUUCCAAUAUGUUUAUACUUGUGUGUUGUCUUUUACAUUUGUUUCAAGGAAAUUUUAUGGGUAGUGUAUAGGCUGAACAUUUUAGACUACUUGUAUUCAUUAAUGGAACAUUGUUUAGGUGGUUGCUCCGUGUUGGAUGGAUAACGAUGGACCUUGUUUGUUUCGCUGCUACUUACAGCUUCCAGAUAUAACUGUUACUUCAGAGGUCUGCAAAAGAAUAACAGAUGCUGAGCGCAGCAAAGAUUGCUAUUGAGAAGGAAUGUGAAUGAUAAGGAUCUGGGCAAUCUUAAGAAACAAUGAAAUGCUUACAUGGCCUUAAAAGAUACGAUUUGCUAUUGGACUCUUGCCAGCAAUGGUUAGUGGUCAGGCUUAUGUGGAGGCUCAAGAUGGCUUCACGGUUAAAGAGUUGACGAGGAAACAUGUACAUAAUCUAAAUUCGUUUCGUCGGUUACUAUUCUUAGGGCUUUAGAUUGUCAACUAUUGCUGCUUUAUGGUUGCAAUUAUUUGCAAAAUACCGGUGAACCAGUAUUCAGGAAACACACAGCCAUUUUCUGGGGUAGUAAGAGAACACAUCUUCAACCGAUUCCUUCAGGCCAUACACGUGGAGGUCGCAUUUUGCCACAAGUGAAAGGUUACUGCUGGAAGCCAGUAUAGCGAUCCGCUAUAAAGGAAGAAAUUCUGGAGCUACAGAAUGACGUUGUAGCUUAACUAUGAGAUUGGCAAGAGCGAGCAUUAGAAUUUUGGGAAAAUAUUCAGAGCAAACUCAUGUCAUACUUGUUUUAUCAAGUUUGUUCCCGCCAAUGUAUGAAGGAUGUAAUCUUUACGUGAGGAACCCUGUGAACUACUUGAAGUUAAUCUAAUUUAACAACGCUUGAUUCAAAGGAUGAUCACGUGGAACGCGGAUAUCGAGGUAGACGUGGCUUUUCAUCAAAAGAGUUUCAGAUAACGGGUUUGAUAACGUUCGCGAAGAUGAUCAAGAUCGGUUGAUUCUGUUUUAAUUUUUUUUAUGUAUAUUUAUAGUUUGAAAACCAUUACACUAUUGUAUAUGUAUCACUGGAGAGGAGUUUUGUAUCUAUAUAUUUCGGAGAGGGUUUUAGAUUUGGGUUAAUUUUUAUUUUAGAAUUUAUUUCUAUUACUUAAAUAGACGUUUUAGAUCC
Papaver somniferum (opium poppy) is the source of this 1690-nucleotide long non-coding RNA. RefSeq lists it as uncharacterized. The transcript has 7 exons. The record is from RefSeq and is a predicted model, not a curated record. NCBI's taxonomy places the organism in Eukaryota, Viridiplantae, Streptophyta, Magnoliopsida, Ranunculales, Papaveraceae.